RNAcentral lists this long non-coding RNA (2057 nucleotides) under Octopus sinensis (East Asian common octopus). Its description in RNAcentral is "uncharacterized LOC118768600". Lineage: Eukaryota; Metazoa; Mollusca; Cephalopoda; Octopoda; Octopodidae. The record is from RNAcentral.
AGUCUAAGUCUUCAAGUUUAAAUAAGUAUAUUGUUAUUAUUAUUUAAUCAGCUGUCCUCUUCUUGCAGGUUUAAAAUCAAUUUUACCUUUAUUUUAAACUUGGGUUACUAGAAGCAUUCAGCAGAGAUUGAGGAGUUAAAUUUCUUAUUUAUGAAUUAGUAGCUCUUGUCAAGUCUGGAGAAAGGGACAUGGCUCAUGACCUUUACAGGCCCUCUGAAACUGGUGGCCUUCAUGUUGUCAAUCUUCCAUUUAAACUGUUGCAGGGAGAAGAUUCUGGAGUAUUGAUAUUCAGAAGAGAAAGAACUGGGUAUAAUGGUUAGUGAGGGAUUAAGGGAGUUGGAUGCAUCAAGAGUGAUAAGAGAUGAAUGGGCCAUGAGUGAUGGAGAUGCACGACCAAGCAGAUCUGAGGAAGAGCGGCCAUUAUAGUAGUGAUUGAAAACAUAAAGAGGAGACAGCAUGUCUUUGGGCAAGAGUCUGGAGUGUGUUUUUUUUGUUUUUGUUUUUUCUAAACAAAAUAUUACAUAUCUGAACUAUCUCUUUGAAAUCUUUUGUUCAAAUUAAUUUCAGUAAAUUAGUAUCAUUUGUAUAUAAAAUUUUCCUCAGGUGAUAUGAAGUCUGUAUAUUUAUUGAUGUAAAUUAAAUUAUCUUCAUUACUAGAUUAAAUUAUUCUGAAAAAUUGUAUAGUAUCUUACUCAUAAUGAAAAUGCUUGUAAAUUUAUUGUACUUCAAGACAAGAUGUUUUUAAUUUCGUUAGAUUCUGAAACUUUAUUGAACUCCAUGAAAUUUUCAUUAAAGUUUCAAAGUUUAAUGAAUGUUUUCUUAAAGAACACUUCAUUUCAAAGAAUCUUUAUUGCUGUAUCUUUUUAAAAGAAAAUCUGUAAAACUUUCUUGAACAGUGUUUAUAACUACAUGAAAACCUUGUGUUGAGAGACAUUGAACUAAUUACUACCAUCAGCUGAAAAAAUUAUAAGAUUUGAAGAAUGUCCACUUAAAGAUAAUGAAAAUGUGAAGUGUUAUUGUUGAACUUUACAAUUUGGAACGUUUUGUCAGGCUUUAAAUAAGUUUAUUUAAUGGUGGGAGAAGACCACUAAAAAUAUCAAUUUAGGAAUUAUGGAUUGAAAUGCCUUUAUUGUGCCUGUAGAAAAUUUUACAUCAAAUGCAAGUAUGGCUAGAUGUCAUCAGUCUAAUCUGAUUGCAUAUGUUUUCUAGGAAGAAUAUACAAAUUUUCAAUUCAAAUUUAAAGAAUAUAUUGUAAUAUUUUUCUCUUUAAUAUAAAUUUUUCUUUCUGGAUAGUAUUAUGUCAAUAACCAAAUCAUAAAUAUAUAAAACUUCGACAGUUAAUGAUAUGCAAUAUUAUCAACAAGUAAAAUGAAUGUAUUUAAUAAUGUAUGUGUGUGUUAAAUGGUUGUCAUGACUCUUCUCCUAUGUAUUUGUUUACACAAUCUCAGAUCAUCACUUACCAUGCAAAUACAAAUGUUAUAUAUAAUUCUUAUUAAUCAAUGUUAUAUUAGAACCUUAAUUUUUCUAACUAUUAAUAUUCCAAGCAAAGAUAUUAGGAAUAAAUUUGUUAUAUAUGAAGUAAAAGGAAAUUAAACUCUUUUAUUCUUGUACUUUUUCAAAAUACACUUUUUUUCUGGCUGCUUCUUUGGGGUUUAGGUAGAAGUCACUUGAUUGCUGAAAAUCUGAGACCUUUCAAAACAAAAGUGAAAUAAUAACAGAGUUCCUGUUUGAAAUAUUCUGAGUGUUAUAUAUACAUUAUUGCUAGAGAGAGGAAAGAAAUUCUCUUGCUAGUGUAAUCAAGAUUAACUUCAUUUAGAAGAUUUACGCCAUAAGAUACUUUAUGUACAAUUAAUAAAUUAUGAAAAGAAAGAUUGUCAAAUAGGGAUGGGUAGAUAAUGGGGCAUCAACAAUAGAGAAACCUGUAUACAGAGAUGUUUACAAUUUUUAAAAUAUCAAAACCUUCAUAGAUAUUAGUGAUUUGGUAAUAAAGCUGAGAAGAAAAAUCCAGCAACAUUUGGAUCAUUCAGUAUAUUUAAAUAAGUCACAAUUUAGAGCAU